RNAcentral lists this ribosomal RNA (253 nucleotides) under uncultured bacterium. RNAcentral describes it as "partial 16S ribosomal RNA". It matches the Rfam family "Bacterial small subunit ribosomal RNA", at positions 524 to 776 of the family's 1533-position model. The record is from RNAcentral.
UACAGAGGUCUCAAGCGUUGUUCGGAUUCAUUGGGCGUAAAGGGUGCGUAGGUGGUGCCGCAAGUCAGGUGUGAAAUCUCGGGGCUCAACCCCGAAACUGCACUUGAUACUGCGGGUCUCGAGUCCGGGAGAGGUGAGUGGAAUUCCUGGUGUAGCGGUGAAAUGCGUAGAUAUCAGGAGGAACACCGGUGGCGAAGGCGGGUCUCUGGGCCGAUAUUGACGCUGAGGAGCGAAAGCGUGGGGAGCGAACAGG